GUCCAAUAAAAAUAUAAUUUAAACAACUUAUAUUAACUAGAUAGUUUAUAAAUGAUCUAUUACAACUACAUUCGGCUAUUAUUAAUUCAACUAUUUGAAUGUGUAUUAACUAUCAAUUAGGAUAUCUAACAAUCUAUAUAGAAAAUAUAUCUUUUGAGAUAACGGUGCAAGAGACUCUCAGUGUUCCUGUUGGUUUAUAUGGUCCUUGCUUGAGGUUAUGGGAGCUUUGAUUUAGAUCCGGUGAGAAGCAUGAGAACUUUAACGCAUGCCUACUAGAUGGCCAAGUGACAAUGGCAUUUUCCCAUCAAUAAUAUAGCAUAAAGUAGGCCAAACUUUUAAGAAUUGUUGCAUUAACUUGCAAGCAGACGAGUAUGCCCAUCUCGAAAUGAUAUUCCCUUCGAACAAUAACCCUAUUAAACCAAACAAAAAAUAAAGUAUUAUUUCCCUUGCAAAAAUCACAUCCCAUAAAAAGCUAUCAAGUGUCCUAAUGAUAUCACAACAAUGUAGCUUAUGCUUUUACAAAACUUGUCAAGGUUUAGUAUCUUGUCUUUCAAGAAGUCUCCGGUUCUUUGCUGUCCUCCUCACUAGUUUCAUUUGCAGUAUCAGCUCCUUCUGAUGACCCUGCUUCUUCAGGCUUUGCAGGACCUGGACCAGCUGAUACUUUCACCAUUGAUGGUCGCAAGAGCUUAUCACCAAGCUUGAACCCCUUGCGAAAUUCCUCAAGUAUGAUACCUUCUUCAUAUUCUGUUGAAUCCUCUCGCAUAAUUGCUUCAUGCAGCAAUGGAUCAAAGGGGUUCCCUAUUGUCUCCACAGGGACAACACCAAGUGAACCGAGAAUUUCCACAAAUUGCUUGUAUAUGCUCUGAUAACUGUUACUGAUCUUCUCUUCUCCUUCAGUCUCAAAUUUAAUCUGGGAUUUGGCUCUCUCAAAAUUAUCCAAAACAAGCAACAAACUCUCCACAACUUCUCCUUGUGCAUUUGUUACCAAUGAAAGCCUUUCCCUCUCUGUCCUCUUUCGAAAAUUGUCGAAGUCUGCACUGAUCCUGAGGACCCGAUCUUUUUCUAUUGACAGUUCUUCAGUCAAACUAGCAACCUUCCUUUCAAGGUCAAUUUUCUCAUCUUCAACAGAUUUCAGAAAAGCUUCUAUCUCAGCAAUUUUGGACUCGUCAUUACUUGCCAAAGCUUCUUUGUAUGACUGGAGUGAAGCCAUGAUGAUUGAAGGAGGAGUUUCCUUAGCAUCAGCAACUUCUUCACUGCUGGCACUAUCUUCCACCUGACUGGCACCAUCUGAAGAAUCCUGUUACAUGAAGCUAUCAGCAUAACAAUCCAAGACAAGAUACCAUCUCCCAGAAUCGGCAAUAAUCAGGAUGAAUGCAAGAAAGUUUUGAACUAAACAAUCUGUUAUGUUGUUAAAGUGGUUAAAACUAUCAAAUCUAAACCAAAAGAUCAAAUUACCAACCCAUAAAAAUAUAAUGCUGCUCAAGCCCAUGGAUUUAGAUUUAGAUUAAAUACCUAGUCCGGGAGGUUUAAAAAAAUAUGAAUUUGGACUUCAAAUCGAAUAUGAAUAUGAAGACUAUAAAAAUUAAGGAUUUGAAAUCAUAAUAUUAACUAUGUUAUUUGAAAUUGAAAUUCAAGCUAAUAAAAAAAUUUUUUUUGAUACUUAGCUCUAUUUUCAACUUUAAAAUUUGAAAUUCUUUUCGUUAACCAAACAAGAUAUUUUCAAAUAAAAAUUUCAAAUCUUAUAUUUAGAAUCUGAAUUUCAAAUUCAAAUCCGUAAAUCCAUACGCAAUCUUAAGGAUUUUGAGUUGUUACUUUUGGCAGAAAAUUUCUUCUUGUUAUCAUUGAGUUGAGUACCAAUUGAAAUUGGACAACAUUCAGUUCUGCUAAUUAUAAUUUGUGAAAUUUAUAAUAGAAGAAACUAACAUGAAAUAAGUACUUUGUCGCUAUCAAUAUCAUAUUGUCUAAUAAAGACAAGUCAUUAAAUGUAUAUGAUAAGUGAUGACAUUUUAUUAUGCCAGUAAAAAUUCUAUAACAAUAAAAGCAGAUAAACUUAAAUAAUUAUCUUAUAUUUGAAUUUAUUUUUUAUGAACUUUUCUUAUUUUUGUGCCUUGCCUCACUUAAGCGCGUGCAUUGCACUUAGGUUCUAAGACUCUUAGUGCCUUGGUGCUCCUUGCACCUUUGAUAACAAUGGCUGGCUUGAUCACAGUUCUAUAGAACUCACCUUUCACUUUGUUAAGGAUCUUAUGGUCACACUCAUCCAUUUCAUCUAUCAUGUUUUGAUCAUAUGAGUUACAUCUUCAUUUAUUGCUUUGUUCUUUUAGACAAUAGAACAUAAAUGCUUGAAUUAGUUUGUAAAAAAUUAAAAAAUACAACCAAAAUUUCCCUCUCUCUCAAAUUCAAUCUUGCCAUUCAUUUGAGGACCAGAGACACCUUUUUGAAAUUUCCAAGGCGUGAGCUCUUGAUGGAGGAAUUCCCAGAUUCCCAUAGUGUGAGCUCGUCAUGGUAGCAACUGACAAGAGGCAGUUGGUGAUGGCAUGGUGAAGGAGCUUCGGUGGUUUAUAGAAUGAGAAGGAUCUCAACCUGGACAUAUCGCCAAUGGCAUUAAGCUGGUGGAACUGUAGCUUGGAACUCCCUUGAUUGAUCCAAGAUGGACCAAAGGCAGAAGCCAUAGAUGAUUAAAAUGUAUAAUGUUUUAAAAAAUAAAAUAAUACAUUUGUCUAUUAAACAGUCUAUAUAUUAUUUUAUUCUCAAAAAGGCUUAAUUGGUAAAACAAAAAAUUGUUUUAUACCCAAUUAAAUAAAGUAAUCGUGAAAUGCUUAAUUGCUCAUUUGAUUAUGGUAUAGGGGCCUUCAAAUGUGACAAAACAGAAAGUGGAAAAUGAAUGAGAAUAAGGGGGUGGGUAUUGGGAGUAGAAGAGAGUGAACUACAUUAAGAAUGAAAUAUAUACAAAGUGUUUAGGUGGAGGAGGAUGUCAUCAUUGUUGAAUAUCAGUUUAGGCAACUUAAAUAGAUAUAGUUGAAUAAAAGAUAUAAAUUUGAGGGAAAAUUGAAUUAUUAUUAUUAUUAUUAUUAU
Molecule: unclassified non-coding RNA, 3072 nt
Filed under: Hevea brasiliensis (rubber tree)
Lineage: Eukaryota; Viridiplantae; Streptophyta; Magnoliopsida; Malpighiales; Euphorbiaceae
Source: RNAcentral